GAUGACAGAAGGCUGAGGAUGGAGAGAGGCACUGAUAGAGGCCAGACCAGACAAGCAGUGCCAAGUCCAUAGUGGGACACCAAAGGGAGGAGGCAAUCCCAGAUGAGGUCCAUCCCAGAACCAGACCUUGCAGGGACCUCAAGGAGCUAUGAACAUAGAAACCCUAUACAUGAUAUCACUUGAAUCCCUCCACAAGGGCUUCUGAUAUUGUCUUAGACCUUUGGAAAGUUCAGGGGUAGUAGCCUCUGGGCCCAUAGUGCUCCCCUGAUGAUGCAGCCCCACCCUCAACUCUUGCCACUGCAGAUGCUCCUUGGGCAGUUUCAUCUGGGCCUUUCACAUCAGCUCCCUCCAAAUGUGACUGGACCUCAAAUGGAUCUUCAGACCCCCAUGCCCAACCACCUCCCAGCUACCUUCCCUGGACAACCCACAGGUCACAUGAUCACCAGGAAGCCCAUGUCUCUGCAUGAUAACCUGGAGAAACCUACAGAUGCCAGGCUUCUGAAUCUCAUUCACCAUGCUUCCCAGGGAUCAAGGAAGAAAUACCCAGAGAUACAGACUGAAAAAUCAGGAAACUGGAUGGGAUUCAGAGCCCUUGGAAUGGAGCCUUCUCAUUCAUUCACCCAACUCCAGUCUAAAACGUGCAGCUCUGAAGCAGGGCUGCUUCAUAGAGACUUGAGUAAAUAGCACAGUAAAGCCCAGGUUUUACCAGUGAGGAGGAGAGUAAAUACACUGAUCAUUUGCAAGAGCACCUCUUCAGAUAUGGCACCUCUCCUUGGAGAGAGGAGACUAUGGAAGACAGGGAGACCAUUCUAGCUGAAGCUCACACCACUUACACAACAAAAGAUCUAAGUCGAAAAGGGAGAGAGUAAAGACCUGGCUCACAUGGGUGUGAAGUGUGCAUGUGGAAACAUUGCAUCUUUAACAUUUCACAACAUCUUGUAGCAGGCUUACUAUGGCAGGAAGGACAAGUGUGGCUGGCCCAGCCAGUGCUGUCCUGCUCAGACCUUCCUAGGCUUUGCAAUGCUGGGAUAAUAGGGAAGCCACACUCAAUGAGCAUCUCUCAGCCUCACAUCUCCUGGUCAACCCAGAAUGCCACAACCACAGGCCGAACCACAGAUCUGGAGGCUGGGAAAUCCAAGAACAUGGCACUGGCAUCAGGCAAGGGUCAGCCCAUGCUGGAGGGCAGAAGGCAGAAGUGAGCAUGUGAGACAGAGAUAAGAAAUUAGGCUGAACUUGCUUGUAUAGCAAACCCAGCCUCUCAAUAACUAACCCGCUCCAGCAAUAAUGGCAUUAAUCCAUUCAUGAGGGCAGAGCCCCCAUGACCUAUUCACAUCCUAAAGGCCCCACAUCAAUCAUAUCUCAACAUGAGGUUCAGAGGACACAAACAUUCAAACCAUAGCAGUAAGUAAUCCUUUUUCUUAAAAAAAAAUUUAUGUUUUUACUAAAAUAUUUUAUAAAUUUGCUUUAAAAUUUUUAAAUAAUAUGGAAGCUAUAGAGUGGGAGUGGGUAGGAAGAUUCUGCAAAUCUCCAGUCUUCUCCUGCUCCCUCUUCACUCCCCAUCCCAACCUACCAUUCUGCACUACCAGGGUAACCACUGCUAACAUUCCAUGCUUUGUGAAUAUUCUGAAUGUUUUUUAAAGGAAAUAAGAUCAUUUCUUACAUACUAUUCUGCAACUUAUGUUUUAAUGUAAUGUAUGUUAGAGAGCUUUCCAUAUUAAUACAAUAUGUGUGGCCCAUUUUAAUAGCUAUAAGCCAUUGUAUUAACAUACCAUCAUGAGGGUACACUGCCACCUUGGAUGAACACGUAGGCUACUUCCUUGUGUCUAUAUAUUUGCUUUUGUUAUUAUUAGAAAGCAGCAAGGAACAGCCUGUACACAUAACUUUGCAAGUUUACAUGAAUUUAUCUACAAAAUAAAUUCAUAGAAGUAGAAAUGGUGAGUCAAAGGAAUGAAGCAUUUAAAAUUUUUAUAGAUAUUGCCAAAUUGAUCUUCAAACACUUGUACCAAUUUGUUCUCCCAGGAACAACAGUGUGCAGGCAUAUUUGUUUGCAUAGAUCCUAGCCAACUGAGGGAGUUAUCGAACUAUUAAAUCUCUGCCAAUCCAA
Homo sapiens (human) is the source of this 2104-nucleotide long non-coding RNA. Ensembl annotates it as long intergenic non-protein coding RNA 2209. The record is from Ensembl. Lineage: Eukaryota; Metazoa; Chordata; Mammalia; Primates; Hominidae.